UUCAAUCACUCUGCUAGCAGAGUCUUUCGUUUUCUUGAUAUUCAAGGGUCGUGCUUCUGUAGUCCCAAUUAAACAGCUAUCUAUAUCAGAACGAGCGCAAGAAAGAGACCCAGAGAUUUGCAGAAGUUCGCCAUGAAAACGAUGAAUAGAAAAGGAGGAAAGAAAGAAUGAGUUGCUGCUUGGGCAAGAGAGCAAAGAGGUGAAUAUGUGUGUGAUAGCAAGAAUGGUGAUCCUGGUCUGCUGUAUUUAUACCAGUACUGCUAACUGCUAAUUAGAUCUACUUCUUUGACUAAAAUGAAGACCCUUUAUUUAAUUUAAUUAUUUUUUUUCUUGGGGAGGAUGCAAGAGUUUACUACGUAAUAUUCAAAACAAACGUGAGAUUUCUAAUGCUUUUCUCAC
RNAcentral lists this long non-coding RNA (399 nucleotides) under Ricinus communis (castor bean). RNAcentral's name for it is "long non-coding RNA (RCOM_LNC001829)". The record is from RNAcentral. Lineage: Eukaryota; Viridiplantae; Streptophyta; Magnoliopsida; Malpighiales; Euphorbiaceae.